RNAcentral lists this ribosomal RNA (405 nucleotides) under uncultured organism. Its description in RNAcentral is "bacterial SSU rRNA". It matches the Rfam family "Bacterial small subunit ribosomal RNA", at positions 45 to 433 of the family's 1533-position model. The record is from RNAcentral.
UACUUAACACAUGCAAGUCGAACGAGGAUCACGGUGUGAGCAAUCAUAUUGUGGUCCGAGUGGCGCACGGGUGAAUAACACGUGGGUAACCUGCCCUUGAGUCUGGGAUACCCCCUCGAAAGGGGGGCUAAUACCGGAUACGUUCCUUGGGUCGACAGAUCCGGGGAGGAAAGGUGGCGCAAGCUGCCGCUCUUGGAGGGGCUCGCGGCCUAUCAGCUAGUUGGCGGGGUAACGGCCCACCAAGGCUUUGACGGGUAGCUGGUCUGAGAGGACGACCAGCCACACGGGGACUGAGACACGGCCCCGACUCCUACGGGAGGCAGCAGUGGGGAAUUUUCCGCAAUGGGCGAAAGCCUGACGGAGUGACGCCGCGUGUGGGACGAAGGCCUUCGGGUCGUAAACCAC